ACAAUUGUAGAGGAGGAGAGACUCAUAAAGUGUUCUGACACAAAAAAGAGGAGGAUAGCUGUCUAGAAAGCGGGCGUUCGUAUUCAUUAUGCUCACGUUGAAUCCCAAUAUUUAUUAUUCAUAUGUUAAGUCGCAAUAAAUUCAUACGUUCAUAUCCAAAAAGUAUACGAGAUAAUGAAUAUAUGUUCGUAUCCGGUAAGCAUACGAGAGAAUAUUAAAAAAUAAAAUAAAAAUAAAAACUAUAAAUACCAUAACCACUCAUAACUUUCUCUUUCUAAUUUAAAAUUUUCAGAUUCAAGUUUUCUUGCACUUCUAUCUCUAAUUUGC
This 327-nucleotide long non-coding RNA is filed under the name Linum usitatissimum (flax). RNAcentral's name for it is "long non-coding RNA (LUSI_LNC003505)". Lineage: Eukaryota; Viridiplantae; Streptophyta; Magnoliopsida; Malpighiales; Linaceae. The record is from RNAcentral.